This 166-nucleotide ribosomal RNA is filed under the name Salmonella enterica subsp. enterica serovar Give str. S5-487. RNAcentral describes it as "partial small subunit ribosomal RNA". Lineage: Bacteria; Pseudomonadati; Pseudomonadota; Gammaproteobacteria; Enterobacterales; Enterobacteriaceae. The record is from RNAcentral.
GUUGUGCGCUUAAAGGCAUGAAUGUUCUUCCUUUCUCUUUCGUUUGGUUAUUAGUAUGCCACCUGGAAGUGUGAUUGCAGUUGCAAUAACGGCAAUUUGCUUAUUUUAUGGCACGUUAAGCACGCCAUUGAUGAAAAAAGAGACACUCAGAAAAUUAUUUUAAAUU